This is an RNA transcript of Micropterus dolomieu (smallmouth bass), 944 nucleotides long. It is a transcript of the gene named butyrophilin subfamily 1 member A1-like, with no coding region annotated. The record is from RefSeq and is a predicted model, not a curated record. The transcript has 5 exons. NCBI's taxonomy places the organism in Eukaryota, Metazoa, Chordata, Actinopteri, Centrarchiformes, Centrarchidae.
GCAGAGGAACAAUGAGCUGACUGAUAACAGAUGUGGAAGCAGGACGCUUAGCCUUCUAGGGAAGCAAAAAAAAGGGGGACAGCUGAGGCAAGAGUCAGCUACAGACUGAAAUAGAGUUUGCAUGGAGGAAGAUCAUCUGCAAGUCAAGGGAAAACUGCAGAACAUCACAUUGGAGAGUUAAAAUUCGUCGUUCUGCAGGAUGGUGUCCAUGAUGCUGCAUCCAAAUAAAGAGUCCAGUGAUGGAGUGUCUUUCAGGACCUGCAGUGUUUUGCUUUUCCAUCUUGUCUUUCUUCCAUCUGUUGGAGGUAAUUUCGGUGCAAAACGCUCCUGUAAGACAUUGAUGUGUUAGAAAGCAAAAGACACGACUUCUGAGCGGGAAAAAAAAGGAAUCCAUUUCUGUAACAACUUGGUCCAAAGAGGUGCCGUCUCCACGCCCAUCAUAAAGGUUAACUCAGAUAACCCCAACAGUGUUGUGUUGCAGUGUGAGUCUGAAGGCUGGUAUCCAGAGCCCGAGGUGUUUUGGCUGGACGGUGAGGGAAACCUCCUCCCUGCUGGACCUACAGAGACGGUCAGAGGUCCUGAUGACCUCUAUACUGUCAGGAGCAGAGUGACAGUGGAGAAGAGACAAAGCAACAGCUUCACCUGUAGAGUCCAACAGAAGAACAUCAACCAGACCAGACAGACACACAUCUAUUUUCCAGCUGAUUCAUUCAUCAUCGAAUCUUGUUCUGCUUUCUGGUGUUACGUCGCCCUUGCUGUUGUCAUCGAGCUUGUCUUGGUGUGCAUCAUACUGCAGUGGAUCAAGUGGAACCGGGAAACUGUGGAGCUCUCCUCUCCCUUCCAAACACUAGCUACCCUCCAGGCAGUCAGUGGACAUAAAGUUGUUCCUGUGAUGUAGAGACAGAGCUCAGUUAAAACUUUAUGGAUACAGAUUAAUAACUCAC